UACAGAGGUCUCAAGCGUUGUUCGGAUUCAUUGGGCGUAAAGUGUGCGUAGGUGGCGGGGCCAGUCAGGUGUGAAAUCCCGGGGCUUAACCCUGGAACUGCAUUUGAUACUGCCUUGCUGGAGAACUGGAGAGGAGACUGGAAUUUACGGUGUAGCAGUGAAAUGCGUAGAGAUCGUAAGGAAGACCAGUGGCGAAGGCGAGUCUCUGGACAGUUACUGACACUGAGGCACGAAGGCCAGGGGAGCAAACGGG
RNAcentral lists this ribosomal RNA (253 nucleotides) under uncultured bacterium. RNAcentral's name for it is "partial 16S ribosomal RNA". It matches the Rfam family "Bacterial small subunit ribosomal RNA", at positions 524 to 776 of the family's 1533-position model. The record is from RNAcentral.